RNAcentral lists this transfer RNA (89 nucleotides) under Bacillus phage BSP9. RNAcentral's name for it is "tRNA-Ser". It matches the Rfam family "tRNA". Rfam says of the family: Transfer RNA (tRNA) molecules are approximately 80 nucleotides in length. Their secondary structure includes four short double-helical elements and three loops (D, anti-codon, and T loops). Further hydrogen bonds mediate the characteristic L-shaped molecular structure. tRNAs have two regions of fundamental functional importance: the anti-codon, which is responsible for specific mRNA codon recognition, and the 3' end, to which the tRNAs corresponding amino acid is attached (by aminoacyl-tRNA synthetases). tRNAs cope with the degeneracy of the genetic code in two manners: having more than one tRNA (with a specific anti-codon) for a particular amino acid; and 'wobble' base-pairing, i.e. permitting non-standard base-pairing at the 3rd anti-codon position. RNAcentral also lists the same sequence under 4 other names. The record is from RNAcentral. Lineage: Duplodnaviria; Heunggongvirae; Uroviricota; Caudoviricetes; Herelleviridae.
UGGAUAGGUACCCAAGCGGUAAAGGGGUCUGGUUGCUAACCAGAUAGUAGGCUGAGGUCUAGCGGAGGUUCGAAUCCUCUCCUAUCCGU